AAACAGGAUUAGAUACCCUGGUAGUCCACGCCGUAAACGAUGUCGACUUGGAGGUUGUGCCCUUGAGGCGUGGCUUCCGGAGCUAACGCGUUAAGUCGACCGCCUGGGGAGUACGGCCGCAAGGUUAAAACUCAAAUGAAUUGACGGGGGCCCGCACAAGCGGUGGAGCAUGUGGUUUAAUUCGAUGCAACGCGAAGAACCUUACCUGGUCUUGACAUCCACGGAAGUUUUCAGAGAUGAGAAUGUGCCUUCGGGAACCGUGAGACAGGUGCUGCAUGGCUGUCGUCAGCUCGUGUUGUGAAAUGUUGGGUUAAGUCCCGCAACGAGCGCAACCCUUAUCCUUUGUUGCCAGCGGUCCGGCCGGGAACUCAAAGGAGACUGCCAGUGAUAAACUGGAGGAAGGUGGGGAUGACGUCAAGUCAUCAUGGCCCUUACGACCAGGGCUACACACGUGCUACAAUGGCGCAUACAAAGAGAAGCGACCUCGCGAGAGCAAGCGGACCUCAUAAAGUGCGUCGUAGUCCGGAUUGGAGUCUGCAACUCGACUCCAUGAAGUCGGAAUCGCUAGUAAUCGUGGAUCAGAAUGCCACGGUGAAUACGUUCCCGGGCCUUGUACACACCGCCCGUCACACCAUGGGAGUGGGUUGCAAAAGAAGUAGGUAGCUUAACCUUCGGGAGGGCGCUUACCACUUUGUGAUUCAUGACUGGGGUGAAGUCGUAACAAGGUAACCGUAGGGGAACCUG
This 744-nucleotide ribosomal RNA is filed under the name Escherichia coli. RNAcentral's name for it is "bacterial SSU rRNA". It matches the Rfam family "Bacterial small subunit ribosomal RNA", at positions 770 to 1514 of the family's 1533-position model. Lineage: Bacteria; Pseudomonadati; Pseudomonadota; Gammaproteobacteria; Enterobacterales; Enterobacteriaceae. The record is from RNAcentral.